CGCCCCUUCCGGGAGAUCUCCAUGGGACCUCUGGGCCAGGAAAAUUGGAAUGGGUUUCAAUGGAGAGAAAGUACUUAUUUUUAUCAUACCAAUUAUUGUCAUUAUAGGAUUUACAUUUGUUUAAAGCAAUGAAGCCUUCAAUAAGUUGUGUUGAUGGAUAGUACAUACUCCCACUUGAUAUUCUUUCCACAGGAAGCUCAUUUUUAGGUUGGAUUCUUGUCAAGAGAUUUCUGCAGUAGUAGUGAAAAUGUAGACUUUAUUUAAAUCCUUUAAUUAUAAAGACCUGUAACUCUUUUUCACUUGUGUUUAUUUGUGACUCAUUUUCUCAUUUUCUCCUUCCUUUGCCAGGGCAUCUGGACCAGGUACAGCAGUGCCUGUACCUGGCCCAGUGUAGGCACCGGCCUGUGGUGCAGCCCCCCUCGGAGACCACAGAGAAGUACGAGCAGCUAGCUGAACUCCUAGAGGCAUGUCUCCAAAUGGACUCUGCCAACAGGUCCAGCUGCUCUGAGCUGCUCGGCCAGGAUUAUUUCACCUGGGAGCAUUUCCCUGACAGGUAACAAACCUAUGAUUCUGUGAGGGAUCUGUGAACGUGACUUCCUAAU
This 602-nucleotide long non-coding RNA is filed under the name Gadus morhua (Atlantic cod). Its description in RNAcentral is "lncRNA (ENSGMOG00000031393.1)". The record is from RNAcentral. Lineage: Eukaryota; Metazoa; Chordata; Actinopteri; Gadiformes; Gadidae.